AACCAACGCUGGCGGCGUGCCUAAUACAUGCAAGUCGAACGGGGAAAGCUUUCGGGUGAGUACUAGUGGCGCACGGGUGAGGAACGCGUGGAUAAUCUGCCUUAGAGUGGGGGAUAACUAGUCGAAAGAUUAGCUAAUACCGCAUAAGACCACGAGAGCUGCGGCUUUUGAGGUCAAAGGUUUUUCGCUCUAAGAUGAGUCCGCGUAAGAUUAGCUAGUUGGUGAGGUAACGGCUCACCAAGGCGACGAUCUUUAACUGGUCUGAGAGGAUGAUCAGUCACACUGGAACUGAGACACGGUCCAGACUCCUACGGGAGGCAGCAGUAGGGAAUAUUGCACAAUGGAGGGAACUCUGAUGCAGCGACGCCGCGUGAGUGAUGAAGGCCUUCGGGUCGUAAAGCUCUGUCGCAGGGGAAUAACACAAUGAAGGUACCCUGUAAGAAAGGAUCGGCUAACUUCGUG
RNAcentral lists this ribosomal RNA (462 nucleotides) under uncultured bacterium. RNAcentral describes it as "partial 16S ribosomal RNA". It matches the Rfam family "Bacterial small subunit ribosomal RNA", at positions 32 to 507 of the family's 1533-position model. The record is from RNAcentral.